This is a long non-coding RNA of Talpa occidentalis (Iberian mole), 455 nucleotides long. RefSeq lists it as uncharacterized. The transcript is spliced from 4 exons. The record is from RefSeq and is a predicted model, not a curated record. NCBI's taxonomy places the organism in Eukaryota, Metazoa, Chordata, Mammalia, Eulipotyphla, Talpidae.
CUGACACUUCGAGCCUUCCUCCAGUAUACAGUCAAACUUCUGAGUGUGAUAUCUCAAGCUCUCUCUGCUGGUUAUGCUGCCUGUCCAGGCUUACCUUUGGAACACUCGCCUAUACUUGCAGCUUAUCAGACUCACCAUACCCUAAAAUUCCUCUGAAAGAAUUAAACUUAAAAGAAGAAGAAGAAGAAGAAGAGGGGGAAUUGGAAAAAGAGAAUGAGAGAAAUUACUUCUACCAAAAGGCUUCAGCCUGAAGAAAUCAGAACUGCUAAAGACUCCUGAAGAGAAAGGUAGCGAUUGAGACCUUACCUGUGACAGAGCAGAACAGAGGAGAGUUCCAAGGAGAAGCCCCUGCAUGUUCCCGGCACUGGCGCGCAGCACACCCGAGAGAUAGGAAGCCAGUGCUUAGGGCCGGCCACACAAAGCUCUCCUCUGUCUCCUCAGUAGAAGAACACACA